AGAGUUUGAUCAUGGCUCAGGAUGAACGCUGGCGGUAUGCUUAACACAUGCAAGUCGAACGGAAUGCUUCGGCAUUUAGUGGCGGACGGGUGAGUAACGCGUGAGAAUCUGGCUUUAGGUUCGGGACAACAGUGGGAAACUGCUGCUAAUACCGAAUGUGCCGAAAGGUGAAAGAUUAAUUGCCUGAAGAUGAGCUCGCGUCUGAUUAGCUAGUUGGUGAGGUAAAGGCUCACCAAGGCGACGAUCAGUAACUGGUCUGAGAGGAUGACCAGUCACACUGGGACUGAGACACGGCCCAGACUCCUACGGGAGGCAGCAGUGGGGAAUUUUCCGCAAUGGGCGAAAGCCUGACGGAGCAAUACCGCGUGAGGGAGGAAGGCUCUUGGGUUGUAAACCUCUUUUCUCAGGGAAGAACAAAAUGACGGUACCUGAGGAAUAAGCAUCGGCUAACUCCGUGCCAGCAGCCGCGGUAAUACGGAGGAUGCAAGCGUUAUCCGGAAUUAUUGGGCGUAAAGCGUCCGCAGGUGGCAAUUCAAGUCUGCUGUUAAAGGUUCUGGCUCAACCAGAGACAGGCAGUGGAAACUGAAUAGCUAGAGUGCGGUAGGGGCAGAGGGAAUUCCCAGUGUAGCGGUGAAAUGCGUAGAGAUUGGGAAGAACACCGGUGGCGAAAGCGCUCUGCUAGGCCGUAACUGACACUCAUGGACGAAAGCUAGGGGAGCGAAUGGGAUUAGAUACCCCCGUAGUCC
RNAcentral lists this ribosomal RNA (746 nucleotides) under uncultured cyanobacterium. RNAcentral describes it as "bacterial SSU rRNA". It matches the Rfam family "Bacterial small subunit ribosomal RNA", at positions 8 to 796 of the family's 1533-position model. The record is from RNAcentral. Lineage: Bacteria; Bacillati; Cyanobacteriota.